This is a long non-coding RNA of Mauremys reevesii (Reeves's turtle), 411 nucleotides long. RefSeq lists it as uncharacterized. NCBI's taxonomy places the organism in Eukaryota, Metazoa, Chordata, Testudines, Geoemydidae. The record is from RefSeq and is a predicted model, not a curated record. The transcript has 2 exons.
AUUACACAAGGUGAAGCUACAAAUGUCAUGAUGCAGUUAUUUUGUGCUGUAGGACAAAUAUAAAAAGCAGUAAGGGAAAAUGUCAAGGAAAACAGAGACACGUGACAACUACAGUGACAAAACAGCCUCUAUAUGAAAGCUGGACUUUUGCAAGCAAAUGGUAGGAGAUUUGAGAAUGGCAUCCUUCUGAAAAGUCAGCCAUGAGUGGAACAACAACAUCUAUUUAAACAGCUAACAUUGGAAUGACUGUUAAAUGAUCUGAUUUGUGUAACCUGAGAGCUAGCAUGAGACUCUAGCUGCAAUAAUGAUGAACAGCUAGGGCUCUUUACUAAUGUCAAUCUCCGUUUAUCAAGGAGCUUUGUAAAAUUACUAAAAUAACAAUUUGAAUACAGUGGUCACCCUUAAAAACUU